RNAcentral lists this unclassified non-coding RNA (346 nucleotides) under soil metagenome. RNAcentral's name for it is "partial contains 5.8S ribosomal RNA, internal transcribed spacer 2, and large subunit ribosomal RNA". The stretch from base 4 to 118 matches the Rfam family "5.8S ribosomal RNA", at positions 40 to 154 of the family's 154-position model. The record is from RNAcentral.
GAUAGAACGUAGCGAAAUGCGAUAAGUAAUGUGAAUUGCAGAAUUCAGUGAAUCAUCGAAUCUUUGAACGCACAUUGCGCCCAUCAGUAUUCUGUUGGGCAUGCCUGUCCGAGCGUCAUUUCAACCCUCAGGGCCCGUUCGCGGGAACUGGUGUUGGGGAUCGGCCUCCCCCCGGAGGCCGGCCCCGAAAUGCAGUGGCGGCUCUACCGCGAUCUCCUCUGUGUAGUAGCGAUACCUCGCAGCUGGAUAGUGGUGGUGCCACGCCGUAAAAUCCCAACUUUACCAAGGUUGACCUCGGAUCAGGUAGGAAUACCCGCUGAACUUAAGCAUAUCGAUAAGCGGAGGA